Long non-coding RNA from Astatotilapia calliptera (eastern happy), 1193 nucleotides. NCBI's taxonomy places the organism in Eukaryota, Metazoa, Chordata, Actinopteri, Cichliformes, Cichlidae. The record is from Ensembl.
CAAUUACUAAAUAUUUUUUAAUUCAUUUAUUAAACAUGUUAGUUUUAUUGUAGCUGAAGGGUACAUGUCAAAGGUAAGUGCCUCUGUUCACAUAAAAAUAUUCACACUAUUAAAAAUUUGUUUUGUGUGUUUCUGUUUGCUAGCUGUACGUAUGGGCCAUGACUGGCCAUGACCUCAGCAGGACCCGGCCUUCCCUUGCGCCGAUGCCGGCAUCACCUUCAGAAGAGGCGACAUCGUGGAAAUUGUGAACCAGACGGAUGCCCUCUGAUGGCAGGCAAAGAAACUGCCCACACGGCAUGUGCCAGCCUCAUCCCCUCUAUCAACCUACUCAUGCUCGUCCAAUCUCGUACUGCAUAUAAUAGUAUUUUGCAGUAUACAGACUUCCGAGGAUGAUGUCAUUGCUCAGUUUUUGGGCUUUUCCUCUGAGAUGUUCUGACUUUGACACUUGAGAUCUUCUGGUUUGGGAACUCUGACUUCUUUUGCUUGUUUUUCUAGAAUUGAAUCCUUUAGCAUCUCUUCUUAAGCCUGACAAUAUUGCUUGUAUGUAAAACAGAUCCGCAGCAGUGACAGUUAAUUUCCAUCUAUUUUGUAUUAUUUGAACUAUUUUAUAGGUUUUAUUGUGUUAUUACCACUGUAUAAAGCAGGAAUGGGCAAUUAAGUUUCCCUAGGGGCCACAUGAGAAACUGGAACUGUUGUGGAGGGCACAUAGAUUCAGAAUUAAGAGUCACCUUUAUUGUCAUUGCACAGUAUUGUAAAAACUACAGCAAAAUGAAAUUUUCUUGUGUGAUCAGUACCAGCAUUCACACACAAACCUAUUUACACAAAAGCUUAAAUACUUACAUUAAAUUAAGUUGAUCUUGCCAAGAAGGAUAGGUGGAGUCUGUUGAGUUCUGUGAUGGUCCUGAGAAAAAACUGUUGAGCAACCUGGUGGUAUGGACUUUGAGGACUUUCUAACGCCCGCUGAAUGGAAGUACGAAGAAAAGGUUGUACGACGGGUGUGUUUUGUCCUGCAGAAUAUUGUUUGUUCGUAAGGGGCAGCAGGUCCUAAAAAGAUCAUCUAGGGAGGUCAGAGGCAGUCCAAUAAUUUUUUUAAUCUGUUCUUAUUACUUGUUUGAGGGAUUUCUUGAUCAAUAAGCCUAUAAAGAGAUAUAAUGAAUAUUUCUCAUGUGGCACCUUCAGAAAAUUAAUUGCCC